AUUCAUCUCCUUUGCAGCAAGGAAUCCAAUCCUUAGAAAAUUCUGCUUGCUGCAGUUUUAUUGGGCCACAUACUUCAAUGGUUACGUAGACCUGAAUGCCACUCCAAAUGGUGGUCCGUCACCUCCUCUCUUGUAACCCUCACCACCCAAUUCUCCCGAACCCCACCAUCAUCACCAUCAUCAUCACCAUCCAUGCCGUCCCAUGUGGGCCCCACGUCCAAAGAACUACCCGACGGCUAUCCUAUUAGUCUCUAGACCCGAGCCAUGCAAUUCGCCGCUGGUGUGGAGAAUUCCAGCAAUUCGGUUCUGGGUAUUAUGGGGUAUUGCUGAGGAAAGAGGGGAAGGAAGUAGAGUGGAAUGAUAAUGUGGAUGGUGCUGCAGGUCUGAUCGGGGAAGGCAGUCGGAGGUCGCCAACAGCAGGCGUAUGAGAUGGCAGGUAGCAAUGGCCUAGAAAAGAUGAAUUCAUGAUCUUUCUUGUACCAGAAGGGCAGGGGCUGGCACUACUGCAGAUAUGAUCAGGCAAAACUGAUAGAGAAAAUCGCUACAUUAGGAAGGAAGAUUUGUAAAUAUUUUCUCUUCAACAUCAUUUUAGUAUGGCUAAACAAUUGUCUUGGAAUUCUUAUGGAUGAAAUGAGAAUGAAAAGUGAGGAAUUAUAACAGCAUUGAAAUUGAAAGGAACAACACGCGAGGCAUGGCCCAUGCAGGGAGUGGAUUAGGUGCAGCCCGGGUCUCACCCAACACAGUGUGGCCCUGAUAGUGGGGCCCACCUUGAUGUAUGUAUGUAUAUCCAAGCCGUCUAUCCGUUUUGCGAGAUCAUUUUUGGCCAGCCCAAAAAUGAAUUAGAUCUAAAUCUCAGGUGGACCAUACUAUAGAAAGAAGUGGUGAUUGAAUGGUCGCUAUUAAAAGCUUCCUAAGGCCCACCCUAAUGUUUACUUGCGAUUCCAUAUAUUGAUAAGGUCACACAAGAUCUGGAUGAAGGUAAAAAUAUCAAAUACUAGCUUGAUCCAAAACUUGUGGCGUACAAACACAUUUUAAUGGUCAAUUACCACAUUUUCCUGUGGUGUGAACGACCUGAGAUUUGGAUCUGCUUCGUUUUUAGGCUUAUGAUCUAAAAUGAUAUGGUAAAACGGAUGGACGGCAUGGAUGUACAAUAAAUAUAUGAAGGUGGGCCCCACGGUCAGGGCCGCACCUAAUAAUGCUCCUGUGCUAGUGCAUCGGGGACAUAAGAACAUUGGACGGUGAACGACCAUCGAUCAUCUUUUCAUAUUUAAAGCUCCAACCGUUUUCUUCCUACUCAAAAUAUAACUAUAAUUGCAAGACCUGGGGUCUCCAUAUGCAUGUGGAUGAUAUGGUGGGCCCCAUCUCUCUAUGGUCGCAGUGGGGUUUGUCGUUUAUUACCGUACAUCCAGUUGUGCGUAUUGUGGAUGGAAGAUGGUUCCAGAUACAAAUGGAUUGGUUGAUCAUAUCCAUUCGAUUUGUGGCCUUCAAAGCAACGGUAGAUAGCUGUAGUUGUUAUGUUUCAAGUAUGCGAUAGGGAGAAUGUAAAUAAAAUAAAAUGAUGGAUAUGAUUUUUCUGAUAGUUGUAAUUUUUUUUAGAACUUAAGUUAUCCUUGAUGUGGCCCACUAGAUGGACGGACCUGAUUGAUAUAUCACCCUGCACGAUGUACUGUGGAGAGAUAGUAAUAAUCCGAAAAUCAGGCCGUAGAAGCAAUCCGAACCGUUGGAUCUUGAGGAAAGGAAAUAAAAAAAAAGGCUAGAAUCCCACUCCUUGGCGUUACUAAGAACUUUCUUGGUUUUGGUUUUGCAGAAUGAAAUUCUGCCAAAGUACUCUGGCAGCUCUAAAUGAGGACCGUAGAUAGCUGGGACAGAGCUGUGGUGAUGAUGACCCUGUGGCUGUAAAUGCAAGCCAGCGACAGAUCGUAGCGUCAUGGCCACAAGAUUUUCCAGGAUGGAAAUUGUGGAAAAUGGAAGGUUGGAUGACGUGCAUGCAAUGAUGCAGCUGUGACAAAAACAAGUACGUACGGUUAUAAAUACUCAUGGUUUCAGUAUUUAAAACAUGUGGGGCCCACCAAAUCCCAGUUUACCCCAACGGAUAAUAAAUAGUACUACUACUUGCCUGUCUGGGUAAAACAUUUCCCUCAUUCGUGAAUUACCAGUCUACUACGGGUUCUGUACGAUGAUUGGAGUGAUCAAGGAGGUGAUCUGAACCGUACAUUCAUUUA
Molecule: long non-coding RNA, 2222 nt
Organism: Magnolia sinica
Lineage: Eukaryota; Viridiplantae; Streptophyta; Magnoliopsida; Magnoliales; Magnoliaceae
Exons: 3
Source: RefSeq, a predicted model, not a curated record